This is an RNA transcript of Lagenorhynchus albirostris (white-beaked dolphin), 5271 nucleotides long. RefSeq lists it as uncharacterized. Lineage: Eukaryota; Metazoa; Chordata; Mammalia; Artiodactyla; Delphinidae. The record is from RefSeq and is a predicted model, not a curated record. The transcript is spliced from 14 exons.
GCGGAGCCAUGACUCACCCGGCCGGCGGCCCUGGCCCGGCUGCGCAGAGUGCACGUGAGCGCGCGUCGCGCUUGUUUCUAAUUUUAGCUCCGGCGGCCCUGGUGGGGUCCGGCGAGAAAUACCACAUUGGCCUUGGUAAAUUGGAGAUUUUUCAGAUAUAAAUAUGGAAACUGCAAGAGUUUAGGGCAUUAUUCCUUAUUCGGUAUCCAUCUUAACAGUUUAAAAAGGACUAAUAGUUUACAAUCCAACAACUGAAUACAUCCAGAGUUCUGUACCAAGAACUAUGUAGAAAAUAAAGGUAAAGGAAGAAAACAUGGUCCGUGUUCUUGAAGACUUUAUAAUCAAGUUGGGAAGAAAUAAUGUACACAUGUGAAACUACUAGAAAAUUUCUUCUGGUAACAUUUAUUUAGAUCUUUCACGAACGUCACUUCAUUGUUUUCACCAGAGCCUGAGCUCCUCUAUGGCGUCACAGUGGAUGCAUUCACAAUCCAGACACAAUCUCUCCACAGGGAAGUCCAGCCAAAUAAGAGUGACUUGCUGUCUCCCAUACGUGACCCUUAGUUUCCACUUCCUUGGAAUUUUGUCUCCAUGCCUUUGUUCAAGCUCUUUCCUCUUCCUAAACGCUUCCUCUCCUGCUUUCACACGCAUAAUGUCUCUCUGAGAGGGAGAGCAAGGCAGGAUACUAACUCUUUCCUCGAGUAACCUCCGUCCCUUCUGAAUUCUUAGAAUUCUCACUUGGUAACACCAUUCUGCCGGCUUCAUAAUUAGUGCUGCAAGUUAUGUUAUAGUACAUCAACCCAGGUGCUCGGAAGAGGCAUACAGAGUGGGGCAAGACGUGGUCCCGGCCCUGAGGGGCUUUCUGCCAGCCUAGGGAGAAGAUACCAACACAGCCAAGUACCCACAAUAGAGAAAGGCCUUUAGACUAAGUGCUAGGGAGAGGAAGAGGGUCUGGGUUCGGCAGGGAGGCCUCCCAGAGGAGGUCAAGUGAACCAAAGAGGCCUUGAAAGGUGCCUGGGAUUCCAGCAGGUGGAGAGGGAGAGGAAGGGGCCCCAGCGAGGGAGGCAGGAGGGGUGAUGCUGCGCUGUAGUUUAGGGAGCGUGAACUGGUAAGGGCAGGGUUCCUGCUGGCUCAUCUUUGCCUCCCCAGAACAGUUCCUGGCCACAGGACACGUCUCUCCUGGCCCAUGCUGUCAGGUGAGAUGACCUUGAAGGUACAGGGAAUCCUGUGGCAAGGGGAUGAAGCCCAUCGGCCAUGGAGCCAGGACACCUGGGCACAAAUCUCCAGCUUCCUGAGUGACAUCAUAGAUGAUGGCACCAUCGACUAAAGCCUGGAAUAUAGAAAGAGGAACGGCCUGGUGGAGGUAGCAGGGGAGGCUGAAGAUAAUCGGAGUCCAGGACGGGGCCCACGCAUGCCGGGGGCGGACACCCCACGUGGCACUCAGUCUCCCAGGCAGACGGGGGUGCCUCAGAUCGAGUUUCUUCUCGGCAGGAAUUUGGGCCAGAUCCCACAGGCACGCAGACUUGGAAAAAAGGGAAGGGCCACAGCGUGAGGACUGACGUCCGUGCACCAUCCAUCGCCCAGGCAGCUGAGUCACCACCACGGUCUGUCCUGACGUUCCCUGAGAGACUGCUGGCUCUUCCGAGAAGGCGUGAUGGAGCUGGGGCUGUUCUGCUUCCUCCUCCUUGCUCCCCGGCCCUGUCCUUCUGGGGUGAACAGAGGGGCCACCACAUCCAAACCAGUCACCCUGGUUCUGCUGGGCGGAUACUGGUGGCCUCUGUGGCACCAAAGCACAGAAGCCAGCAACUCUCCAGAUGGUAGCCACUCCAUCAGCCUGGGUCCUGGAAUGAGGACAACUCAGACAGUCCCAAACCAACUCAAGGCGACCUUUUGGAGUAAACAAGAAAGAAACCGUUUGUUGUGUCAAGGCACUGAGAGGUUGGGGUUGUUUGUUAUUAUGGCAUAACCUCUCCGAUCCUGACAGACACCCAGGCACCGUCCGGGACCUCCUGAGUCUCAGUCAGCAUGGGAGCUCUAGCUGAGCCAUUUUCUCAAGUCCCACAGUCGUGAUCUUGGAGAUCAGCGAGGUUUGUGAACCCGCACUUCACUCCACACUGAUCCUGAGGCACAGCUGAACUGUAGUGGGUUGAGUGGUGACGCCCCCCCCCAAAACAUAUCCACAUCCUAACCCCUGGAACCUGUGAAUGUUACAUUAUUUCAAAAACGGGGCUUUGUAGACGUGAUAAAGAAUCUUGAAAGAGGAGAUCAUCCUGGAUUAUCCAAUAAGUACAAUGACAAGUGUCCUUCUAGGGGGAGGCAGAGGGAGAUUUAAGACAGACACAGAGGAGAAGGCCCUAUGAGACAGGCAGAGAUUGGAGGGACGUAGCCACAGCCAAGGAAUACCGACCACCACCAGCAGCUGGACAGGCAAGGAAUGAAUUCUCCCCUAGAACCCCAGAGAGGGUGUAGCCCUGAUGUCACCUUGAUUUCCAGAACUGUGAGAGAAUACAUUUUUGUUGUUUCAAGCCACCGAGUCUGUGGUACUUUGCUUCAGCUGCCAGUGGACGGACAGCGUCCACUAAUCCUCAGGGACCUCCCAGUCUCACAAGGGAAAUUGGGGCUGCACCAGAGAGAGCUGGGCAGCAGGGGCAAGGCAGCCAGAGCUGGGCUGACUGCUUGGGAAAUGAACUCUGGUGGAGGAGAAGUUUGAGCAGAGGUCUGGGGGGAUGUGCACUGGAGCUUAGUAGAGAAGGAGCGGGAGGGUGUUUCAGAAAGGGACAGGUAGGUGUGGACACCAGGAUGGGGGCCAGGCAGGUAUUCCAGCCACAGAAGAGCAGCAGAAUCUGUGCUGGGGAUGAAUGAAUGGAACAGGAGGGCUGGCAAACUUGGUCUUGAAACCCAAGCUGGCCUUCCUUCAUAUCAAUCUUUAUAAAGCCAGAAUGGUAAUUUGAAAAAUUGUGCUUUCAAAAUAAGCCAAAAUAGUUAAAUUCAAAAUUGUAUCUAUGCCCUGACCACUACACAUAUAUAUAUGUGUAUAUAGAUAUACACACAUAUAUAUACAUAUAUAUGUGCAUAUAUACAUACAGACAGACCAAAACAUAAGAAAAUCAUGGGAUAGACUUAGGAAUUUUUUUCCUUCAUUUUUUAACUUGUUACUGAAGUUGCAACACUUUAAUAAACAAAAGAAUCCCAAAAUAAGAAGUUCUGGGUUAAUAUGAAAUUAAUAAUGAACUACUGAGCGUUCUCGAGGAAGGGUGGGGUGGGUGAUCAAAAUAAUGGUUAAGGAAGGUAGUCGGGUCAGUCCUGUGCAUAAAGGAGAGGAGACGGAGCGGCAGAGGCCAGGAGACCUACAAAGGGGCCGUGCAACAUUCCAGGAGUGAGGUGUAGCGAGGCCCAACUAGGGAUGUGUGUGAGGACGGAGCAGUGUCGGAGCAGCGCUCACAGCCUCCGGUAGCUGCCAGGCCAGACGCUCGCUACACUCGACUGCCCUCUAGUGGCCAAAUCCGGGAAGCCAGCCACGCCUUUCAAAGCUACCUCCUGGGGAUAGAGCAUUGCGGGAACGUGAAGAAGGAGCUCCGGGCUUUCUGGUGUCAGAGAAGGCUUCCCAGAGGACACGAUGCUUCCUUCCACUGAGCAUGGGCUCUUCGUUGCCAUAUGGCGUCUCUGGGGGUUUCACACUAGCCACCCCUUAUACCCCACAUAAUAGGAGCUGCUCUCUGCUUUAUACUGCCCGUCGCUGGCUGGAGUUGGAGCCUAAUUUGUGUGGCCAGAUGAGGAAAUCAAGGCCCAGAGAGGCAGAGGGACUCACCCACAGUCACACAGCUGAGGUGACAGAACCAGAACUGGGAGGCUGGCUCCUGAGUCUGUGCUCUUAACCACUUGCCAUUUGACCCUCUUUGUGCUGGUUGCACAACGAUGCCCAGAACCACAUUGAGGAGUGUUUUGCCUUUAACCAUCUUCUAUCCUGUUCACCACCCUUGUUCAACCUGUUUCCCACUCCCUGAAGGGUAUUUAAUGGCUAAAUGAAUCCCAAUCAAAUAUUAACUAGAAGAGAGGCACCUGAGCCUUCUCCCCCGGAACCUUCCCUUUCUGCUCAGAGUCCCAGUGUUUGUCACAGCAUCUGUGUUUGCAGAAGGUUCAUGGGUGCAGACAUCCCUGCAGGACGGAUGGGAGGACACAGCCUCUGGUCUGGGGAAAUUUAUGUCUAAAGGGAGCCGAGACGGAUGAACUAUUCCGUUUGCUCCUUUUGCUCUCUAUCAAGCACAGUCAGCUAGUGUUUUUUAAACUGUGAGUCGCCACACAUCAGUGAAUCAUGACAACCUUUUAGUGCGUCUCAAAUCACAUUUUAUUUACAAGAAACUAAUUAAAAUUUAAAAUAUCAUGUGCAUUUUAUGUAGCAUGGUUAAGAAUUGUUUUAGGGGGCUUCCCUGGUGGCACAGUGGUUGAGAGUCUGCCUGCCGAUGCAGGGGACACGGGUUCGUGCCCCGGUCCGGGAAGAUCCCACAUGCCGCGGAGCGGCUAGGAUGUGAGCCAUGGCCGCUGAGCCUGCACGUCCGGAGCCUGUGCUCCACAAUGGGAGAGGCCACAGCGGUGAGAGGCCCGUGUACCGCAAAAAAAAAAAAAAGAAUCGUUUUAGGAAAUUUUAUUUUAGCUGUGUGCACCUGCAUGUGUGUGUGUGCACACGCACACUUGGCUACGAUAUAAAAUAUAUUUCUUACUGUGAGUCCAGUCAAAAAAGUUAAAGAGCCGCAUAGCUAAAUGUUUUUCUCCUCUGCUUUCACAAUACUUGUUUACAGGAGCUUUACAACCCAUGUUUUUUUUUUUUGCUCGAGUUAAUCUGAAAGUGAGUUUCUAUCAGCCAGUCUACACUGGCCAUGAUGGAACAGAGGGGUGAGGGGUGCUAAGACAGCACACGGAGGGAAGCUGUUGGCCACAGAGCCGGGGUUCCACUCCUCGGCCACCAAAUGCACCACCCAGAUGAUGACCCAGCGCGUCACCUGCUUAACUGAAGUCACCUGUGCUUCAUUAAAACCUUGAGGCCUGUGAGCAAGUUAAAUUGUUUGAAUUAACACAGCUUGUUGGAGCCAAACUUAAGCUAUAUUUUCAUAGGGCAUAUUUGUCGUUAAAAUCCUACUGUAAUAUUUAUAUUCAAAAAAUCCAGUUAAUGAAUUUGUCGUUUAUUCUUCCCUGCUUCGAAUCAACCAGUCCUGGCAUAUUUAUAGGACUUCCUCCUCGCAUCCCAGGCACAGACCCUCGGCUGUGUGGUGUGCACGG